GAUGAACGCUGGCAGCGUGCCUAAUACAUGCAAGUCGAGCGAACGGACGAGAAGCUUGCUUCUCUGAUGUUAGCGGCGGACGGGUGAGUAACACGUGGAUAACCUACCUAUAAGACUGGGAUAACCUCGGGAAACCGGAGCUAAUACCGGAUGAUAUUUUGAACCGCAUGGUUCAAAAGUGAAAGACGGUCUUGCUGUCACUUAUAGAUGGAUCCGCGCUGCAUUAGCUAGUUGGUAAGGUAACGGCUUACCAAGGCAACGAUGCAUAGCCGACCUGAGAGGGUGAUCGGCCACACUGGAACUGAGACACGGUCCAGACUCCUACGGGAGGCAGCAGUAGGGAAUCUUCCGCAAUGGGCGAAAGCCUGACGGAGCAACGCCGCGUGAGUGAUGAAGGUCUUCGGAUCGUAAAACUCUGUUAUUAGGGAAGAACAUAUGUGUAAGUAACUGUGCACAUCUUGACGGUACCUAAUCAGAAAGCCACGGCUAACUACGUG
RNAcentral lists this ribosomal RNA (497 nucleotides) under uncultured bacterium. RNAcentral describes it as "partial 16S ribosomal RNA". It matches the Rfam family "Bacterial small subunit ribosomal RNA", at positions 28 to 507 of the family's 1533-position model. The record is from RNAcentral.